UUUGAAUUCAACAGAAGUAAUACUUUCUACCUCUUCGACCACACUGAUAUUACCGUUACAUAUCCUGGGGAAAGUGAAACAAAUUGGGCUAUUGCAAGUUUGGUUACUGCUUGACUUGAUCUCAAAAGGUCCGUAUUAUAAAGGAUGUUCGAAUUGUUGAUGUCUGAGUGUUGGGAAAACCGCUCACAGGGACGAUGUAGCACCCGACAGAUUCCUUGCUAAUUGCCAGUGGGAAAAUAGAAAAACAAGAAAACAAACAUAUCAAGUGGGAUUCUAGAUGGGAUUACAUUUUGGAGUCUAUGCCUCAUCCCCACAUCCAGUGGCUUAGUUCUGGCCUGUCUUGGUUUCCCUUCCCCUGCCAAUCGAAGUCUUUAAUGACCUGUGCUGUUUUGUCAUGGGUCCUUCUGGGAACCUCUGCUGGAUACGUGUCUGCUAAAAUGUAUAAGAGCAAGCAUUACAACUCUUUAUUUUGCUGGUUAGGUAUCCAGUUCGCACAAACCAGAUUCCACGUCAGAUUCCUCAACAGAUUUUCUCUAGAAAAUGACUUUUGGCAUCAUAAUCAGUGGCAUUUUCCCUUUUGGCUGUAUUUUUAUUCAACUCUUUUUCCUUCUGAACAGUGUUUGGAACAGUCGGAUUUUUUUCCUGCUUCUGUUUUAUUAUCAAAAUCUACAGUGUGGUGAAAGUGGAUUAAAGAAUGUCCCCAGAGGCUUCCAGGCACAUCACCCUUGCUUUUGAAUAUACAUCUGUAUCUAUAUGAACAUCUAUAAAGAUACAUAUGUAUGCUUCCAAUUGCCUGUUUUUAAUAUAUAUCAAUUGGAAAAUCUCAUUGUCUGGCCUCAGUUUGUGUAACACAACACACUGAUUGCAUGCAGAAAACCAGGUUGGGAAAUAGCUUUAUUCUAAGUCAUAUUUUCCUGAAAUGAUACUAUAAAAGGGUUUGAUUUAAAGGAAUUAGAGCAAGGGAGGCACAUUUAUUUAAGAAAUUAAAGUGCAGUGGUUUUUCAGAUGAAGAAUUUUUCUUUUUUUCUUCCUCAUUUAUUUAGAGCAUCAGAACUAUUGUCAAAUAAAUUUUAGGUAAAACGUGAACUUUUUUUUUUU
This 1098-nucleotide long non-coding RNA is filed under the name Sus scrofa (pig). RNAcentral's name for it is "lncRNA (ENSSSCG00070000840.1)". The record is from RNAcentral. Lineage: Eukaryota; Metazoa; Chordata; Mammalia; Artiodactyla; Suidae.